AUGAUCUGGGACAUCCGACUUCCGCUGAAAAUCAGGAUCUUCCUGUGGCAAUGGAUCCGUGGACGCCUCCCCUCUGGGGUUGAAGUCCUCAAGCGUAAUGGCCCGGGCGAUGGGAUGUGCCCUAUCUGUGGCACGAUGGAGGAUGCUAACCACAUCUUUUUCUCGUGCCACUCUGCCCAGUUCCUUUGGGCCUGCUUCUGCAAAACGGUUGGCGGACAGUGGUGUAAUACCAACUUCCCCGACAUGCUUGCCGAACUUAACGCUUCCCCUACUCGCUACCGCCAUAUUAGAUGGCUGUGCGUUGGGGUUCUCGCCUGGAUGCUUUGGAACAUUCGCAAUAAGCUUGUUAUUCAGAAGGUGCCUCUCUGA
Molecule: ribosomal RNA, 369 nt
Filed under: Triticum aestivum (bread wheat)
Lineage: Eukaryota; Viridiplantae; Streptophyta; Magnoliopsida; Poales; Poaceae
Description: partial small subunit ribosomal RNA
Source: RNAcentral